AGAUGGCGACCGGCGCACGGGUGAGUAACACGUAUCCAACCUGCCGAUAACUCGGGGAUAGCCUUUCGAAAGAAAGAUUAAUACCCGAUGGUAUAAUCAGACCGCAUGGUCUUGUUAUUAAAGAAUUCGGUUAUCGAUGGGGAUGCGUUCCAUUAGGCAGUUGGUGAGGUAACGGCUCACCAAACCUUCGAUGGAUAGGGGUUCUGAGAGGAAGGUCCCCCACAUUGGAACUGAGACACGGUCCAA
Molecule: ribosomal RNA, 246 nt
Filed under: uncultured bacterium
Lineage: Bacteria
Description: partial 16S ribosomal RNA
Rfam family: Bacterial small subunit ribosomal RNA
Source: RNAcentral